Molecule: ribosomal RNA, 253 nt
Filed under: uncultured bacterium
Lineage: Bacteria
Description: partial 16S ribosomal RNA
Rfam family: Bacterial small subunit ribosomal RNA
Source: RNAcentral
UACGUAGGGUGCGAGCGUUGUCCGGAAUUAUUGGGCGUAAAGGGCUCGUAGGCGGUUUGUCGCGUCGGGAGUGAAAUCCUACGGCUUAACUGUGGGCUUGCUUUCGAUACGGGCAGACUAGAGGUAUGCAGGGGAGAACGGAAUUCCUGGUGUAGCGGUGAAAUGCGCAGAUAUCAGGAGGAACACCGGUGGCGAAGGCGGUUCUCUGGGCAUGAUCUGACGCUGAGGCGCGAAAGCGUGGGGAGCAAACAGG